Molecule: non-coding RNA, 107 nt
Organism: Acanthosepion pharaonis
Lineage: Eukaryota; Metazoa; Mollusca; Cephalopoda; Sepiida; Sepiidae
Source: the annotation of a GenBank genome assembly
UACAGCCAUAUCACGUUGAAACACCCGUUCUUGUCCGAUCACAGAAGAUAAGCAAUGCUGACCCUUGUCAGUUCUACGAUGGGUAACUUCUUGGGAAUACCAAAUGC